Molecule: unclassified non-coding RNA, 200 nt
Filed under: soil metagenome
Description: partial contains internal transcribed spacer 2 and large subunit ribosomal RNA
Source: RNAcentral
UGGUUCGCGCCGCGUGGGCUUGGACCGUGGCCGCUCUGGCCGACGCACGUCGGCCCGGCCGAAAUGCAUGCGGAGCGCAUACGCGUCGCCGCGACGUUGACCAGCGUUGUAGACACCUCGCUGGUGACGUCCGGGUUCGCGGCUUCCGGAGCCCAUUUAUUUUCGACCUCAGAUCAAGCAGGAUUACCCGCUGAACUUAA